AACGUAGGAGACAAACGUUAUCCGGAGUUACUGGGCGUAAAGGGCGUGUAGGUGGUUUCGUAAGUCUGGCGUGAAAUUUCUCGGCUUAACCGAGGCAGGUCGUCGGAUACUGCGGGACUAGAGGACGGUAGAGGCGUGUGGAAUUCCGGGUGUAGUGGUGAAAUGCGUAGAGAUCCGGAGGAACACCAGCGGCGAAGGCGACACGCUGGGCCGUACCUGACACUGAACCGCGACAGCAUGGGGAGCAAACAGG
RNAcentral lists this ribosomal RNA (253 nucleotides) under uncultured bacterium. RNAcentral describes it as "partial 16S ribosomal RNA". It matches the Rfam family "Bacterial small subunit ribosomal RNA", at positions 524 to 776 of the family's 1533-position model. The record is from RNAcentral.